GAUGAACGCUGGCGGCGUGCCUAAUACAUGCAAGUCGAGCGAACAGAUGAGGAGCUUGCUCCUCUGACGUUAGCGGCGGACGGGUGAGUAACACGUGGAUAACCUACCUAUAAGACUGGGAUAACUUCGGGAAACCGGAGCUAAUACCGGAUAAUAUAUUGAACCGCAUGGUUCAAUAGUGAAAGACGGUUUUGCUGUCACUUAUAGAUGGAUCCGCGCCGCAUUAGCUAGUUGGUAAGGUAACGGCUUACCAAGGCAACGAUGCGUAGCCGACCUGAGAGGGUGAUCGGCCACACUGGAACUGAGACACGGUCCAGACUCCUACGGGAGGCAGCAGUAGGGAAUCUUCCGCAAUGGGCGAAAGCCUGACGGAGCAACGCCGCGUGAGUGAUGAAGGUCUUCGGAUCGUAAAACUCUGUUAUUAGGGAAGAACAAAUGUGUAAGUAACUAAGCACGUCUUGACGGUACCUAAUCAGAAAGCCACGGCUAACUACGUG
This 497-nucleotide ribosomal RNA is filed under the name uncultured bacterium. RNAcentral's name for it is "partial 16S ribosomal RNA". It matches the Rfam family "Bacterial small subunit ribosomal RNA", at positions 28 to 507 of the family's 1533-position model. The record is from RNAcentral.